AUUGAACGCUGGCGGCAGGCCUAACACAUGCAAGUCGAGCGGAUGAAGGGAGCUUGCUCCUGGAUUCAGCGGCGGACGGGUGAGUAAUGCCUAGGAAUCUGCCUGGUAGUGGGGGAUAGCGUCCGGAAACGGGCGCUAAUACCGCAUACGUCCUGAGGGAGAAAGUGGGGGAUCUUCGGACCUCACGCUAUCAGAUGAGCCUAGGUCGGAUUAGCUAGUUGGUGGGGUAAAGGCCUACCAAGGCGACGAUCCGUAACUGGUCUGAGAGGAUGAUCAGUCACACUGGAACUGAGACACGGUCCAGACUCCUACGGGAGGCAGCAAUGGGGAAUAUUGGACAAUGGGCGAAAGCCUGAUCCAGCCAUGCCGCGUGUGUGAAGAAGGUCUUCGGAUUGUAAAGCACUUUAAGUUGGGAGGAAGGGCAGUAAGUUAAUACCUUGCUGUUUUGACGUUACCAACAGAAUAAGCACCGGCUAACUUCGUG
Molecule: ribosomal RNA, 484 nt
Filed under: uncultured bacterium
Lineage: Bacteria
Description: partial 16S ribosomal RNA
Rfam family: Bacterial small subunit ribosomal RNA
Source: RNAcentral